CGAACGGGUGAGUAAUAUAUCGGAACGUAUCCAAUAAUGGGGGAUAACUAGUCGAAAAAUUAGCUAAUACCGCAUACGCCCUGAGGGGGAAAGCUGGGGAUCUUCGGACCUAGCGUUAAUGGAGCGGCCGAUACCUGAUUAGCUAGUAGGUGAGGUAAGAGCUCACCUAGGCGACGAUCAGUAGCUGGUCUGAGAGGACGACCAGCCACACUGGAACUGAGACACGGUCCAG
Molecule: ribosomal RNA, 232 nt
Filed under: uncultured bacterium
Lineage: Bacteria
Description: partial 16S ribosomal RNA
Rfam family: Bacterial small subunit ribosomal RNA
Source: RNAcentral